Molecule: ribosomal RNA, 467 nt
Filed under: Ichneutes sp.
Lineage: Eukaryota; Metazoa; Arthropoda; Insecta; Hymenoptera; Braconidae
Description: partial 16S ribosomal RNA
Source: RNAcentral
CUGCUCAAUGAUAAAAAUUAAAUAGCUGCAGUAUAAAUAACUGUACAAAGGUAGCAUAAUAAUUAGAUUUUUAAUUAAAAUCUAGAAUGAAAGAUUAAAUGAAAAAUAAACUAUCUUAAAAAAUUAAUAUUAAAUUUAAAUUUUAAUUAAAAAAAAUUAAUUAAACUUAAAAGACAAGAAGACCCUAUAGAAUUUUAUAAAUUUAUUAAAUAUAAAUUUAAUACAUUUAUUUAAUUGGGAUAAUUUUAAAAUUUGAUUAAUUUUUUUUUUUCUUCUCCAUCAACAAAUGAAAUAAUUAAACUAAUUAUAUAUAUAUAUAUAUAUCUAUAUUAAAAUAAAUAAAUUACCUUAGGGAUAACAGAAUAAUUUUUUUUAAAAGAACAUAUUAAAAAAAAAGAUUAUUACCUCGAUGUUGAAUUAAGAUAAAAAAUAAAUGAAAAAAUUUAUAAAUUUAAGUCUGUUCGACU